Molecule: ribosomal RNA, 346 nt
Filed under: uncultured bacterium
Lineage: Bacteria
Description: partial 16S ribosomal RNA
Rfam family: Bacterial small subunit ribosomal RNA
Source: RNAcentral
CCUACGGGAGGCAGCAGUGGGGAAUAUUGCGCAAUGGGCGAAAGCCUGACGCAGCGACGCCGCGUGAGGGAUGAAGGUCUUCGGAUCGGAAACCUCUGUCAGCAGGGAAGAACGGUCACGGAGCUAAGCAGCAGUGAAUGGACGGUACCUGCAAAGGAAGCACAGGCUACCUCCGUGCCAGCAGCCUCGGUAAUACGGAGGGUGCGCGCGUUCAUCGGAAGUACUGGGCGUAACGCGCUCGUAGGCGGUAUGUCAAGUCAAGGGUGAAAUCCCCGCGCUCAACGUGGGAACUGCCUUUGAAACUGGCACACUGGAGUGUGUGAGAGGUUAGUGGACUUCCAGGUGU